Long non-coding RNA from Erinaceus europaeus (western European hedgehog), 448 nucleotides. RefSeq lists it as uncharacterized. The record is from RefSeq and is a predicted model, not a curated record. The transcript has 3 exons. Lineage: Eukaryota; Metazoa; Chordata; Mammalia; Eulipotyphla; Erinaceidae.
GCCUGGAACCCCACUGUUUCAGGAUAUAGUCUCAGACUGCCUCCUCACUUUCAGGAAUGGGGUACCCCAGAAGACCAUGAGUACCUGAGCCUUCACCCCCUCCUGAACUGAAGCCCCAGCACCAUCUGAUGGGCACACAGUCCCCCUGCAACUUCUCCACUGCUGUCUACCGCUGCUAUGUGGAUGGCUUACAGGCUUCGGCCAUCAUCAUCAUCCCCACCCUGCUGUGCUCGAGCACCCUGCUCAUUGUCAGCUGUAUCAUUUGGAAGACAUGUCGCCGGCUGUCUCGGGCCACCCACCCCAGCCCACCAUCCCCAUGAGGAGCUCAGUCAGAUGUGAAUGCUACGUAUGAAGAAGAACAGGACUUCUGUGCUUAUCUUUGUGCCUCAGUGUAAAUAGUCAGAGAAGCUGCUUAACAAUAGUUGCUGAAUGGAUGGCUGGACGAGGA